RNAcentral lists this non-coding RNA (97 nucleotides) under uncultured Ruminococcus sp. Its description in RNAcentral is "THF riboswitch". It matches the Rfam family "THF (Tetrahydrofolate) riboswitch aptamer". From Rfam's summary of the family: THF riboswitch presents a pseudoknot that joins P1-P2 and the loop of P3 and two THF binding. The record is from RNAcentral. Lineage: Bacteria; Bacillati; Bacillota; Clostridia; Eubacteriales; Oscillospiraceae.
CAGAGUAGAAUACGGCGCGUGAAGUGCUUUUGCGGACGGGGAGUUGCCGCAAGGACGAAAGGGUUUUUCCUGCGAUGCCGUUUUCGCAUCCCGCUGU